CCUACGGGUGGCAGCAGUGGGGAAUAUUGGACAAUGGGCGAAAGCCUGAUCCAGCAAUACCGCGUGAGUGAUGAAGGCCCUAUGGGUUGUAAAGCUCUUUUAUUGGGGAAGAUAAUGACGGUACCCAAUGAAUAAGCACCGACUAACUACGUGCCAGCAGUCGCGGUAAUACGUAGGGUGCUAGCGUUACUCGGAUUUACUGGGCGUAAAGCGCAUGUAGGUGGACAUGUAAGACAGAAGUGCAAUCCCCAAGCUCAACUUGGGAACUGCUUUUGUUACUGCUUGUCUUGAGUGCGGUAGAGGAUGAUGGAAUUUCUAGUGGAGGGGUAAAAUCCAUAGAUAUUAGAAGGAACACCGGAAGCGAAAGCGAUCAUCUGGGCCGUAACUGACAUUGAGAUGCGAAAGCGUGGGGAGCAAACAGGAUUAGAUACCCCGGUAGUCC
Molecule: ribosomal RNA, 442 nt
Filed under: uncultured bacterium
Lineage: Bacteria
Description: bacterial SSU rRNA
Rfam family: Bacterial small subunit ribosomal RNA
Source: RNAcentral